CAAUACCGCGUGAGGGAGGAAGGCUCUUGGGUUGUAAACCUCUUUUCUCAAGGAAUAAGUACUGAAGGUACUUGAGGAAUCAGCAUCGGCUAACUCCGUGCCAGCAGCCGCGGUAAUACGGAGGAUGCAAGCGUUAUCCGGAAUGAUUGGGCGUAAAGCGUCCGCAGGUGGCUGUGUAAGUCUGCUGUUAAAGAGUGAGGCUCAACCUCAUAAAAGCAGUGGAAACUACACAGCUAGAGUGCGUUCGGGGCAGAGGGAAUUCCUGGUGUAGCGGUGAAAUGCGUAGAGAUCAGGAAGAACACCGGUGGCGAAGGCGCUCUGCUAGGCCGCAACUGACACUGAGGGACGAAAGCUAGGGGAGCGAAUGGGAUUAGAUACCCCAGUAGUCCUAGCCGUAAACGAUGGAUACUAGGCGUUGCGAGUAUCGACCCUCGCAGUGCCGGAGCCAACGCGUUAAGUAUCCCGCCUGGGGAGUACGCACGCAAGUGUG
RNAcentral lists this ribosomal RNA (490 nucleotides) under uncultured cyanobacterium. RNAcentral's name for it is "bacterial SSU rRNA". It matches the Rfam family "Bacterial small subunit ribosomal RNA", at positions 392 to 896 of the family's 1533-position model. Lineage: Bacteria; Bacillati; Cyanobacteriota. The record is from RNAcentral.